This 208-nucleotide ribosomal RNA is filed under the name uncultured bacterium. RNAcentral describes it as "partial 16S ribosomal RNA". It matches the Rfam family "Bacterial small subunit ribosomal RNA", at positions 568 to 774 of the family's 1533-position model. The record is from RNAcentral.
CGCGUAGGCGGUUACGCAAGUCGGAUGUGAAAAGUCAUGGCUCAACUGUGAUCGUGCAUCCGAAACUGCGUUGACUUGAGGUCGGUAGAGGCAAGUGGAACUAGCGGUGUAGCGGUGAAAUGCGCAGAUAUCGCUAGGAACGCCGGUGGCGAAGGCGACUUGCCGGGCCGUACCUGACGCUGAUGCGCGAAAGCUAGGGGAGCGAACC